This 301-nucleotide ribosomal RNA is filed under the name uncultured bacterium. RNAcentral's name for it is "partial 16S ribosomal RNA". It matches the Rfam family "Bacterial small subunit ribosomal RNA", at positions 509 to 807 of the family's 1533-position model. The record is from RNAcentral.
CAGUAGCCGCGGUAAAACGGAGGGUGCAAGCGUUAAUCGGAAUUACUGGGCGUAAAGCGUGCGUAGGCGGUUCGUUAAGUCUGUUGUGAAAGCCCCGGGCUCAACCUGGGAAUGGCAAUGGAUACUGGCGAGCUAGAGUGUGUCAGAGGAUGGUAGAAUUCCCGGUGUAGCGGUGAAAUGCGUAGAGAUCGGGAGGAACAUCAGUGGCGAAGGCGGCCAUCUGGGACAACACUGACGCUGAGGCACGAAAGCGUGGGGAGCAAACAGGAUUAGAUACCCCCGUAGUCCCUGUCUCUUAUAC